This is an RNA transcript of Lepus europaeus (European hare), 2572 nucleotides long. It is a transcript of the gene named cyclin L1, with no coding region annotated. The record is from RefSeq and is a predicted model, not a curated record. Lineage: Eukaryota; Metazoa; Chordata; Mammalia; Lagomorpha; Leporidae. The transcript is spliced from 12 exons.
CGAGGACGCUGGUUAGUCUCGCUUCGGGUUCCGGCUGCGUUGGGCGUGCGUGCAGCUCGCUGAGACUAUGGCGUCCGGGCCUCACCCGACCUCGACCGCUGCCGCUGCCGCCGCCGCCUCUUCGGCCGUCCCGAGUGCGGGCGGCUCCAGCUCCGGGACGACGACCACGACGACGACCACCACGGGAGGGAUCCUGAUCGGCGACCGCCUGUACUCGGAAGUCUCGCUCACCAUCGACCACUCGCUGAUUCCGGAGGAGAGGCUUUCGCCCACCCCGUCCAUGCAGGACGGGCUCGACCUGCCCAGCGAGACGGACUUGCGCAUCCUGGGCUGCGAGCUCAUCCAGGCCGCCGGCAUUCUCCUCCGGCUGCCGCAGGUGGCGAUGGCAACGGGGCAGGUGUUGUUUCACCGUUUUUUCUACUCCAAGUCUUUUGUCAAGCACAGUUUCGAGAUUGUUGCCAUGGCUUGUAUUAAUCUUGCAUCCAAAAUCGAAGAAGCACCUAGACGGAUAAGAGAUGUGAUUAAUGUAUUCCACCAUCUACGGCAGUUAAGAGGAAAAAGGACUCCAAGCCCCCUGAUCCUUGAUCAGAACUACAUUAACACCAAAAAUCAAGUUAUCAAGGCAGAGAGGAGGGUGCUAAAGGAGUUGGGAUUUUGUGUUCAUGUCAAGCAUCCCCAUAAGAUCAUUGUUAUGUAUUUACAAGUCUUAGAAUGUGAACGUAACCAAACCCUGGUUCAAACUGCCUGGAAUUAUAUGAAUGACAGUCUUCGAACCAAUGUUUUUGUUCGAUUUCAACCAGAGACUAUAGCAUGUGCAUGCAUCUACCUUGCAGCUAGAGCACUUCAGAUUCCACUGCCAACUCGUCCCCAUUGGUUUCUUCUUUUUGGUACUACAGAAGAGGAGAUCCAAGAAAUUUGCAUAGAAACGCUUCGGCUUUAUACCAGAAAAAAGCCAAACUAUGAAUUGUUGGAAAAAGAAGUAGAAAAAAGAAAAGUAGCCUUACAAGAAGCCAAACUGAAAGCAAAAGGAUUAAACCCUGAUGGAACUCCAGCCCUUUCAACCCUUGGAGGAUUUUCUCCAGCUUCUAAACCAUCAUCCCCAAGAGAAAUAAAAGCUGAAGAAAAGUCACCAGUUUCUGUUAAUGUGAAGACAGUCAAAAAAGAACCUGAGGAUAGACAACAGGCUUCCAAAAGCCCUUACAAUGGGGUAAGAAAAGACAGCAAAAGAAGUAGAAAUAGCAGAAGUGCAAGUCGAUCAAGGUCGAGAACACGAUCACGGUCUAGAUCGCACACUCCACGAAGACAACUUGGCUCCACAUGAUUUGCUGCUGUUUCCAAAAAAUUCAAAUACACACACACAAGGAGGUUUACUGCCACUAAGGAUGUUUAAAAAAAGUUACAGCUUCGGAAGAGGAUGCCAAAGAUGACUUCCAGAUGUUUCCUCACUGGCAGGCAGUGGUGCUGGUAGGAUAGCUUCACAAGGCGACCACUCUGAAGCAAACGAUUCAUUUGGAUGUAAAAGUCUGGCAGACAAGAGAUCUUCCAUCUGCUGGCUCACUCCCCAAAUGCCUGCAACUGACAGGCGAAGCCCAGGAACCUGGAACUCUGUCCUGGUUUCCCACAUGGAUGGCGGAGACUCAGGUACUUAAGCUGUCAGCUGCUGCUUCCCAAGGUGUGCAUAGUAGGAAGCAGGAAGUGGAAACAGAAGGUAGGACUAGAAGCCAGGCAGUCCACAAGAUGUGAGCAUCGUGCCUGCUGUGCCAAGCACUGGCCCCGUGUGAUACUGUUAAGGCCAGUUUUGAAAAAAAUGGAACUUGAACCGUAGGAAUAGUGAGGGGCUUAGUUUAGCUGGAGAGAUGGAGAAUAUACAUAGGAUUUAAUCAGGAAAACCACUACUACAUAUGAAAAUUGGGAGCAGUAUUCGUUGUGUGCACAUUGAGCCCCUUAUAUCUGGAAGCCACAUCUUGACAAUAAACAUUUGAACUUUGUCCAUCAGGGCAAUGGAAAGAACAUGGGAUUCUAUGUCAGCUCAUUAUGUGACUUGGCAAGGUAUUUAACCUCUUGCUACAAACUGCCUCUUAAAACGGCAUUUUGUAGGUUGUGUAUGGAGCAUGUGGGAGGGAUUUCUAUUUUUACUGCUUGCCAUCCAAAAAUAGUUCAUAUUAGAAGCACCUAACUACUCAGAGAAGUUUGAACUUUCCAUUUCUUAGGAACAUAAUUCAAAAGAUGCCAUGGGGCAGGUGUUUACAUAGUCUAGUGGUUAAGACUGGGUAGCCCUGUGUCCCCAUAUCAGAGUGCCUGGUUCGAACCUUGGCUCUUGCUGAUUCCAGCUUCCUGCUAAUUCAGACCCUGGGAGGCAGCACAGAGUGAUGGUUCAAAUAAUUGGAUUCCUACCACCGACUCAGAAGACCUCGAUUGUGUUCCCAGCUCCCAGCUUUUGCCCCAGCUUCAGCUGUUGAGGGCACCUGGGGAGGGAACCGGCAGAUGAAUGCUUUGUAUCUCUGUGCCUCUAAAAUAAUUUUUUUUGUGGAAAAAAUAUGUUUCAAGAUGCUAGUUGAUUGAGAUCUGAUUU